GACGAACGCUGGCGGCGUGCCUAAUACAUGCAAGUCGAACGCUGGAACUCUAGCUUGCUAGAUUGCAGGAGUGGCGAACGGGUGAGUAACACAUAAGCAACCUACCCACGAAGACUGGGAUAAUCUCUGGAAACGGGGACUAAUACCGGAUAGGUAAUCGGAAGGCAUCUUUUGAUUAUUAAAGGUGAUAAACACUGGUGGAUGGGCCUAUGGCGCAGUGGUUAGUUGGUGAGGUAACGGCCCACCAAGACGAUGAUGCGAAGCCGGCCUGAGAGGGUGAACGUGCGAAGGUGGACGGGGACACUGGGCAUGCGCCAACGGGCGGCAGCCGUAGGGAGGUAUCGGCGGGGGAUAAUGCCCUGACGGAGCAAGGCCGCGUGAGUGAUGACGGCUGGCGGGUUGUAGAGCUCUGGUGGUAGAGAAGAACGGUAGGUGGAGAAUCUCUUUGUGACGGUACCUAACCAGGAAGCCACGGCUAACUACGUG
RNAcentral lists this ribosomal RNA (486 nucleotides) under uncultured bacterium. RNAcentral describes it as "partial 16S ribosomal RNA". It matches the Rfam family "Bacterial small subunit ribosomal RNA", at positions 28 to 507 of the family's 1533-position model. The record is from RNAcentral.